Molecule: long non-coding RNA, 739 nt
Organism: Phragmites australis (common reed)
Lineage: Eukaryota; Viridiplantae; Streptophyta; Magnoliopsida; Poales; Poaceae
Exons: 2
Source: RefSeq, a predicted model, not a curated record
GCCUCACCUGCUUAGGAGGCCAAAGCAGCUCCUGUCCUGACCUGAGAGCGUUGCCGUGCCGAAGAGGGGAAACAAGAAGAACAAGAGUAACAGAGUUCACAGCGGCAAGCUUGUAGUUCGCAUGAGUUGUGGCUAAGAAUGCAGGUGGGAUGGGUUGGGGCUGCCCGCUCCACUUCCACAGCAGCCACGAGCACUACGCGGACACAAGCAACAGCCUCCACGCAACUGCAAAGGGUUUUUGCGGGCUUCACGGUGGCCACCCUUAAAGCGUCGCAUGUCUUGCGGCUGGUCACAGACGAAGCCCUACCAUCCUAUAGUUUUUUCCUCUACUAACAAGAGUCGAAGGGUGCGUGGAUGAGAAGGACGGCAGCGCACGCGUCGGCGACGGUGCAACUAAGGCUCACCAUGCUUUGCAUUGAUGCCCUCCGCAGCAGCUCCCCUCUGCUCAUCGAGCUUAGGUUUCACGGUUGUUGCGGGCUUACAACGCCGCUGGGUCCGGCAGUUCUGCCCGUAUAAACCGCUUCAGCGAAGCGAUCUGCUUCGUAGCGUAAUGCGGCCUCGUGGUGCAGAUUGACCAAACUGGUUAGAGGCAUAAUAACUCACCCCAAUUGCACCCCUAGCUAUGUCCUUGUCCAAGUAACUCGCCGCCACCGCUACAUAAUUGUGUAAUUCAUGGGGUAGUCUGCUAUUGCUAUGAUACGCUGCGCUUUGCUAUGGAAUCUUGUCUGUUUCUAUAGAA